Molecule: ribosomal RNA, 250 nt
Filed under: uncultured bacterium
Lineage: Bacteria
Description: partial 16S ribosomal RNA
Rfam family: Bacterial small subunit ribosomal RNA
Source: RNAcentral
UCGAACGAGAGUUUUUAACUCAAGUGGCGGACGGGUGAGUAACACGUGAGAAUCUACCCUUAGGAGGGGGACAACAGUUGGAAACGACUGCUAAUACCCCAUAUGCUUUCGAGUAAAAUGAUUUUUCGCCUAAGGAAGAGCUCGCGGCUGAUUAGCUAGUUGGUAAGGUAAAGGCUUACCAAGGCGACGAUCAGUAUCUGGUUUGAGAGGACGAUCAGACACACUGGAACUGAGACACGGUCCAGACUCC